UCCCUGUAGGCUGUAUCUCGUUGUUUGCCUGAAAAUCCAUGGAGGAAAUUUUCACAAUGUUUGCGGCAAUGCUGUCAGCCAUAUUCACUCUCAUGGUCGACUCGUUUCCCAUGGGUUGUUGUAAGAAACGUAGUUCCCAGCUUAAUGUGUCAGCCAGUACUAAUCACGAACGUGCUAAAGAAGGUCACGGUGCGCAAAUGGGGUGAUCGUUGAAAGUGGACAGCAAUUGUUAUGCUAACAUGUUGUGACUUAGGCAGGAUACAAGAUGAAGAUGAAAGCUACAGUGGUGUUCUUUUCAUGCACAACUCUUCUUGGCAUUGCUCUACGGAUAGGCCUCUCCAGAGUGUACGGUGAGAGACUAAUCCCAAUCCCACAGCUCUGAUCGUGGUAGGACUAUUGAACGCUUCAUCAGCUGGCCUGCUCAAAUAUGUGGCAUUGGUGGAUUUGCUAGCAUCUGAUUUUUUGAGCCCUUAAUUGCAAGGCAACAUAAAACUUCAGUUAUGGGCUUAUGCGGCAGUUCUCUCAGGUGCUGGAGGCAUGUCCUUGUUGGCUAAAUGGGCCUAGAAAACUGCAUUUGCAAAGUCAUACCCUGCUGUUAGUGGUGUUAUUUAGGAAUGUAAAUUCAAACUGUUAAACUCGAUAACCGUGAAUAACCAUCCAAAUGAAAUGGAUUUGGGAAUGAAAAUUUGAUUAUAUUUCAGAUA
Molecule: long non-coding RNA, 704 nt
Organism: Malus domestica (apple)
Lineage: Eukaryota; Viridiplantae; Streptophyta; Magnoliopsida; Rosales; Rosaceae
Source: RefSeq, a predicted model, not a curated record